RNAcentral lists this ribosomal RNA (242 nucleotides) under uncultured bacterium. RNAcentral describes it as "partial 16S ribosomal RNA". It matches the Rfam family "Bacterial small subunit ribosomal RNA", at positions 15 to 262 of the family's 1533-position model. The record is from RNAcentral.
GAUCCUGGCUCAGAUUGAACGCUGGCGGCAUGCCUUACACAUGCAAGUCGAACGGUAACAGGUCUUCGGACGCUGACGAGUGGCGAACGGGUGAGUAAUACAUCGGAACGUGCCCAGUCGUGGGGGAUAACUACUCGAAAGAGUAGCUAAUACCGCAUACGAUCUGAGGAUGAAAGCGGGGGACCCUUCGGGCCUCGCGCGAUUGGAGCGGCCGAUGGCAGAUUAGUAGUUGGUGGAUAAAG